Molecule: transfer RNA, 91 nt
Filed under: Arthrobacter sp. MN05-02
Lineage: Bacteria; Bacillati; Actinomycetota; Actinomycetes; Micrococcales; Micrococcaceae
Description: tRNA-Gly
Source: RNAcentral
GCUCGCCUGGCCCGUGGGCCUGGCCCUCGCGCUGCCGACGCGGGGUUUCCGGCAGGAGAUCCGCGACCUGUUCGACCGUGUGAGCGAGUAC